Molecule: ribosomal RNA, 254 nt
Filed under: uncultured bacterium
Lineage: Bacteria
Description: partial 16S ribosomal RNA
Rfam family: Bacterial small subunit ribosomal RNA
Source: RNAcentral
UACGUAGGUGGCAAGCGUUGUCCGGAUUUAUUGGGUUUAAAGGGUGUGUAGGCGGUUGUUUAAGUUUGGUGUGAAAUCUCCCGGCUCAACUGGGAGGGUGCGCCGAAUACUGAAUGACUUGGAGUGCGGGAGAGGUGAGUGGAAUUCCUGGUGUAGCGGUGAAAUGCGUAGAUAUCAGGAGGAACACCGGUGGUGUAGACGGCUCACUGGACCGUAACUGACGCUGAGACACGAAAGCGUGGGUAGCAAACAGG